This is a small nucleolar RNA of Parambassis ranga (Indian glassy fish), 139 nucleotides long. The record is from Ensembl. Lineage: Eukaryota; Metazoa; Chordata; Actinopteri; Ambassidae.
CGAUGUCAGUUCCUCCUCCUGAUUGCAGUAUAUCAGGAGGAUUUUAUGAUGUCGCAGAGAAAUGUGGGUCUUUUUCACCCAGUAAGCUUAAGGCUGCGGCCAGAAAUGAAGCUUCCUGGUUUUGCAGGACCCAACAUAU